RNAcentral lists this ribosomal RNA (430 nucleotides) under bacterium. RNAcentral describes it as "partial 16S ribosomal RNA". It matches the Rfam family "Bacterial small subunit ribosomal RNA", at positions 355 to 776 of the family's 1533-position model. The record is from RNAcentral.
UGGGGAAUAUUGGACAAUGGGCGCAAGCCUGAUCCAGCCAUGCCGCGUGUGUGAAGAAGGCCUUUUGGUUGUAAAGCACUUUAAGCGAGGAGGAGGCUACUUGGAUUAAUACUCUAAGAUAGUGGACGUUACUCGCAGAAUAAGCACCGGCUAACUCUGUGCCAGCAGCCGCGGUAAUACAGAGGGUGCGAGCGUUAAUCGGAUUUACUGGUCGUAAAGCGUGCGUAGGCGGCUUCUUAAGUCGGAUGUGAAAUCCCUGAGCUUAACUUAGGAAUUGCAUUCGAUACUGGGAAGCUAGAGUAUGGGAGAGGAUGGUAGAAUUCCAGGUGUAGCGGUGAAAUGCGUAGAGAUCUGGAGGAAUACCGAUGGCGAAGGCAGCCAUCUGGCCUAAUACUGACGCUGAGGUACGAAAGCAUGGGGAGCAAACAGG